ACCAACUUUGUCAUUCAAUUUCUUGCUGGAAAUAAAACCAUGUAGGUAAAACCCAAGAAAUAAAAAUGAAACACUCCCUCCUGCACCACCACAUACCCUUGACACUUCUCAUGUUUCCACCAUCCAAAAGACUACAAAUUUCGUUAACGCUUUUCUCUUGAGAGUAAAUAAUACUUUCAAAGAAAGCUUUUCAAAUAUUUAUCAAUAUAGAAUACGAGCACUGUGCCAGGCGCUGGGGAUACAAAGAUGAAUACAUCCUUGCCUUGAAUAUGUUGGGACCCCAGGAUGCAGCAGUCACUGAGCAAGCGGUAACAAUAAUCCAGUGUACCUGGGAGCAGGAAGUCAGCCCGGAGUGGGUUUGUGCUUACGGGAACUCCUUACCCUUCCACACAGUUUUGGCAGGGCGUGGAGGAGUACUUCUUUGGGGGAGGAGGAGGAUGUGUGAAGUAGCUUCUCAAGGGAAGCAGAUUAAAUUGGAUGAACUGGUUUUUGGCAGGUGGCAAAGAGGAGAGUAUUACAGAGAGCAGCCUAAAAAGGACACAGAGACUGGGGAAAUGUGUGACUGAUGGAAAGAAAAUAAGACCUCUUUUGUGAUGUAUGCUGGGGAAACAGCGGUGAACAACUGCAUGGACUCCCGGAAAAGCUUAAAUCUCAAGGUGCUUCAAACCAUUAAAGUGUUACCGAAGAAACAGCUGAAUUUCUUUAGGAAAAAAAUCUUGUUAAAAGAAAAACCUAUGUAAACCUGCUAGACAGGUUUACAUUAUAUUCUGUUUACAUAAAGCAAAUAUUAGCAUUGUAUUGUAAUAUCCUUGCAAACCACAAGAUGUAAACAAAAGUGGUUCUUAGAAGGGUUCUCACAGUUUCAAAUCUUAGAUGCUAAGUAUUAGUCUGCUGUCUUCCAAAAUAUAACAUUGCUUUAAUAAAAUGACUUUGGGGCUUCCCAGGUGGCUCAGUGGUAAAGAAUUCACUUGCCAAUGCAGGCGACUCAAGAGGAGAAGCUGGUUCCGUCCCUGGGUUGGGAAGAUCCCCUGGAGGAGGAAAUAGCAACCCACUCCAGUACUCAUGCCUAGAAUAACCCAUGGAAAGAGUCCAGCGGGUUACAGUCCCUGGGGUUACAGAGUCAGACACAACUUAGAGACUGAGCAUAUACACACAUUGGUUUGCUGUCUUCCAAAAUAUAACUUAGUUUUAAUAAAAUGACUUGGCUAGGCUUACUUACUCUUGAAUAUAGC
Bos taurus (domestic cattle) is the source of this 1232-nucleotide long non-coding RNA. NCBI's taxonomy places the organism in Eukaryota, Metazoa, Chordata, Mammalia, Artiodactyla, Bovidae. The record is from Ensembl.